GUCGCUUUGGCCGAGUGGUUAAGGCGCUCGCUUGCUAAGCGAGUGGGAUUCCCCGCGUGAGUUCUCGACUCACAGGCGACG
Molecule: non-coding RNA, 81 nt
Organism: Solanum tuberosum (potato)
Lineage: Eukaryota; Viridiplantae; Streptophyta; Magnoliopsida; Solanales; Solanaceae
Source: Rfam